Molecule: long non-coding RNA, 204 nt
Filed under: Elaeis guineensis (African oil palm)
Lineage: Eukaryota; Viridiplantae; Streptophyta; Magnoliopsida; Arecales; Arecaceae
Description: long non-coding RNA (EGUI_LNC054196)
Source: RNAcentral
ACCCUCUUGGGCAUAGUAAAGGAAAAGAAACUAUUUUUUCUCUGAUUGCCUAGGUUGCAUCUAAAAAUUUUUUUAUUCAUCUACAAGAUUAAGAAUCAAAUCCUUACCUAAUUAGUAGCAGAACCAGAGAUCAAAUCUCAAUUUAUCUAGAUUAAACCUUCACGGAGGCCUGGAUAUGCAAACUCUCUACUUCACAUGCACGCC